RNAcentral lists this ribosomal RNA (448 nucleotides) under uncultured bacterium. Its description in RNAcentral is "bacterial SSU rRNA". It matches the Rfam family "Bacterial small subunit ribosomal RNA", at positions 28 to 457 of the family's 1533-position model. The record is from RNAcentral.
GAUGAACGCUGGCGGCGUGCCUAACACAUGCAAGUCGAACGGAACUUCUUCGACAGAAUUCUUCGGAAGGAAGUUGAUUAAGUUUAGUGGCGGACGGGUGAGUAACGCGUGAGUAACCUGCCUUUGAGAGGGGAAUAACUUCCCGAAAGGGAUGCUAAUACCGCAUGACGCAUAUUUAUCGCAUGGUAGAUAUGCCAAAGAUUUAUCGCUCAAAGAUGGACUCGCGUCCGAUUAGCCAGUUGGCGGGGUAACGGCCCACCAAAGCGACGAUCGGUAGCCGGACUGAGAGGUUGAACGGCCACAUUGGGACUGAGACACGGCCCAGACUCCUACGGGAGGCAGCAGUGGGGGAUAUUGCGCAAUGGGGGAAACCCUGACGCAGCAACGCCGCGUGAAGGAUGAAGGUUUUCGGAUUGUAAACUUCUUUUAUUUAGGACGAACAAUGACG